CACGCCAUAAACGAUGAGAACUAGACGUUGGGAGGGUAAGCCUCUCAGUGUCGCAGCUAACGCGCUAAGUUCUCCGCCUGGGGAGUACGGCCGCAAGGUUGAAACUCAAAGGAAUUGACG
RNAcentral lists this ribosomal RNA (120 nucleotides) under uncultured bacterium. Its description in RNAcentral is "partial 16S ribosomal RNA". It matches the Rfam family "Bacterial small subunit ribosomal RNA", at positions 796 to 915 of the family's 1533-position model. The record is from RNAcentral.